CCUCUGUUGUACACACGUUUAUAAACCGGAGUUGUACGUAUGUAGAGCUCCUGAGAAAUCUGACAGCAAAACGAGAGAGCAAACCCUAGAAAAUCAAGAGAUCUGCGAUGGUGAAGUCGGUGGUGUACAUAUCGUCGGGCUUCUAUCUCAUUUGAUCUCCAAUGUUCAAUUUGGAGAUCCUCCCUGAAGAUCUAAUCUCCUCUGUUCGAUUUGGGUUCUUUUCAAGAUAUAAUCUGGACUGUUGAAAUCGAUUUGCGAAUCAGAAGUGUUAAAUCUCUGCUCAUCUCUUCUCGUACGGUUAAUUUAAAAUUAAAGAAUAAAAGAAUUCUGCACUUUUUAUAAAUUCAGUGUCACGACAAGUGGUUGGAAUAUCCGUGUGGUGCUCUUCAUAUGACCAUGUUAAUGGAUUCCAAGUGUGGAAAGGGUAAAUACAGUCCUUCAGCAUCUGCAAGGAACAAACAUGAGGUUCCGUUCAUUUACUAGACGAGGUUCCAUUCAUUUACUAGACCCCUCUUAUUGUUGAUUAAGCCUUUUUCUACUCAUUGCAUUAUGUUUUUGCAGGGUCUCGAUGAUAAGUGUUUUCUUAGUUUAUCAGGGUCCCUAAGUUAAUUAAUCGACAUAUUUUAGUUCUGUACUUGCAUAUAUAUUUACUUGUGGUUAUGGCAGAACUGUUGUUGCGUCCAUUUUGUGACCCCUGCACAAACAAUUUUUCAGGGGAGCCAAGAUAAGCAAUUGCUAUUUUAUUAUUUUCUAGACUAAUUUAUAUGAAUUAAAGAUUAAAUUCAAUGUGAGGAGGCAAUUAUAAUUAUUCCUGAUAAUAAAGAUUUAUAUAGAUUAUGUACAUGUAUCAUUGUUAUAUUAUUCCAUCGCCUUUGCUAGAUAUAAAAGUUUGAAACAAGUUGAACCAUGUUACUUAUAUCAACUUAUAUGUUGCAGAAGUGAGUGAUAGCGUGACAAAUCGAUGGUCUGUAACUCUAUGUUUUAUGUUGGCAGUUGACACUAAAAAAAUAAACUAAAAAUAUUUAUACUUCCCAUCUUGCAAUCAAAAAGAUUUGAAUUUAAUGUUUAAAAGUCCAAUCUGAGAACUACUACCAGCCCUCUAGUUUUCAUGGUUCUUAUGUGUUGUCUGUUCCGUAUCACAGUUUUAGAAAAUGUAGAAAAUAAUAUAUAUUGUAAUUUGCAUUCUACUUGGUGUUCGGCAGCAACUACAACUCGCAGGUUCUCCUUACCUGUUUGUUUACGUAACUAAUACACAAGAAAAUACCACAAUCAAUGAUUAAGUUGGAAAUCACUGUUGUUUUCUAUCCCCGGCGGCCGGCACAGUGAUUAUUUCUUGUUUUUCGACUUUAAAAAAUUUAGGUUUUGUUUGUCUUAAAAUUAUAUGUUCUGGUACUAUAAAUUGUUUAUCACGGGUAUGAAUUAAUAUCUUGUUUUUCUUGCCCAUGCCAUUCUUGCGUGGUGCCAGAUGAAGCCUGAGGGUAUAAAGUAGGAAUCACAGAGGAUACAAAGUUGGAUAUUGCUAAACACCUUAACCUCUUAAGUAUUAAAUAUUCUGGUAUUGUUGGAGGAUUUCGAGUUCAGGAAACCCCUGUUUUAUUCUCAUAAAUGUUGUUUCUUGCUGAAGCCUAGUUGUAGCAAUUUCGUCCAUACUAUUAACCUCUGGCCUUUGCCGUCUUGUACAUGACCUUUGCAUUAUACAUCCACAAGCUUUUAUCAUAUUCAUAACAUGCAUUUCACUUGGUCUAACUUCAGAUCAUAUAUUGCAGGUUGUUGCGCUAUUGUGCAGUUAGUAUAUGAUUUUGAGAAACUAUACAUCAUGUUAAACGUAAACAAGACGUGAAAGUUGAGGCUGCUGAUAGGCCUAGAUUGUAGAAUGAGAAGGAAGCUCUUGAGUCAGAGAUAUCAGACACUAUCGAGGAGGCGGCCACAUGUUAUACAGCAGAGAAACCCUUUUCUGUCAAACUUUUAAGCCCUGCAAAGAGACGACAUUGACGCCCAUCUCGGAUCAUCACAAAAGAGGUCUUUGCCUGAAACAAAAAAAUGGAGAGUCAGAGGACAAGCUUCAAAGUCUUUCAAGGUGGACAUAUAAUCAGCAGAGCCAAUCAUAGUUUUUUUCCUUUCAUUGUAAUGCUUCUUUUUUAUAAAAAGAAAUAAUGCCAUCAUCAUCAACAUUUAUAUAUGUAUACAAGUACAACCUUAUUAGUUAAAUGACUCAUUUAUACA
Long non-coding RNA from Daucus carota subsp. sativus, 2223 nucleotides. RefSeq lists it as uncharacterized. The transcript has 3 exons. The record is from RefSeq and is a predicted model, not a curated record. NCBI's taxonomy places the organism in Eukaryota, Viridiplantae, Streptophyta, Magnoliopsida, Apiales, Apiaceae.